GCGAAUGCUGACAUAAGUAACGAUAAAGCGGGUGAAAAGCCCGCUCGCCGGAAGACCAAGGGUUCCUGUCCAACGUUAAUCGGGGCAGGGUGAGUCGACCCCUAAGGCGAGGCCGAAAGGCGUAGUCGAUGGGAAACAGGUUAAUAUUCCUGUACUUGGUGUUACUGCGAAGGGGGGACGGAGAAGGCUAUGUUGGCCGGGCGACGGUUGUCCCGGUUUAAGCGUGUAGGCUGGUUUUCCAGGCAAAUCCGGAAAACCAAGGCUGAGGCGUGAUGACGAGGCACUACGGUGCUGAAGCGACAAAUGCCCUGCUUCCAGGAAAAGCCUCUAAGCAUCAGGUAACAUCAAAUCGUACCCCAAACCGACACAGGUGGUCAGGUAGAGAAUACCAAGGCGCUUGAGAGAACUCGGGUGAAGGAACUAGGCAAAAUGGUGCCGUAACUUCGGGAGAAGGCACGCUGAUAUGUAGGUGAAGCGACUUGCUCGUGGAGCUGAAAUCAGUCGAAGAUACCAGCUGGCUGCAACUGUUUAUUAAAAACACAGCACUGUGCAAACACGAAAGUGGACGUAUACGGUGUGACGCCUGCCCGGUGCCGGAAGGUUAAUUGAUGGGGUUAGCGGCAACGCGAAGCUCUUGAUCGAAGCCCCGGUAAACGGCGGCCGUAACUAUAACGGUCCUAAGGUAGCGAAAUUCCUUGUCGGGUAAGUUCCGACCUGCACGAAUGGCGUAAUGAUGGCCAGGCUGUCUCCACCCGAGACUCAGUGAAAUUGAACUCGCUGUGAAGAUGCAGUGUACCCGCGGCAAGACGGAAAGACCCCGUGAACCUUUACUAUAGCUUGACACUGAACAUUGAGCCUUGAUGUGUAGGAUAGGUGGGAGGCUUUGAAGUGUGGACGCCAGUCUGCAUGGAGCCGACCUUGAAAUACCACCCUUUAAUGUUUGAUGUUCUAACGUUGGCCCCUAAUCGGGGUUGCGGACAGUGUCUGGUGGGUAGUUUGACUGGGGCGGUCUCCUCCUAAAGAGUAACGGAGGAGCACGAAGGUUGGCUAAUCCUGGUCGGACAUCAGGAGGUUAGUGCAAUGGCAUAAGCCAGCUUGACUGCGAGCGUGACGGCGCGAGCAGGUGCGAAAGCAGGUCAUAGUGAUCCGGUGGUUCUGAAUGGAAGGGCCAUCGCUCAACGGAUAAAAGGUACUCCGGGGAUAACAGGCUGAUACCGCCCAAGAGUUCAUAUCGACGGCGGUGUUUGGCACCUCGAUGUCGGCUCAUCACAUCCUGGGGCUGAAGUAGGUCCCAAGGGUAUGGCUGUUCGCCAUUUAAAGUGGUACGCGAGCUGGGUUUAGAACGUCGUGAGACAGUUCGGUCCCUAUCUGCCGUGGGCGCUGGAGAACUGAGGGGGGCUGCUCCUAGUACGAGAGGACCGGAGUGGACGCAUCACUGGUGUUCGGGUUGUCAUGCCAAUGGCACUGCCCGGUAGCUAAAUGCGGAAGAGAUAAGUGCUGAAAGCAUCUAAGCACGAAACUUGCCCCGAGAUGAGUUCUCCCUGAGACUUAGAGUCUCCUGAAGGAACGUUGAAGACGACGACGUUGAUAGGCCGGGUGUGUAAGCGCAGCGAUGCGUUGAGCUAACCGGUACUAAUGAACCGUGAGGCUUAACCUUACAACGCCGAAG
RNAcentral lists this ribosomal RNA (1669 nucleotides) under Escherichia coli. Its description in RNAcentral is "partial 23S ribosomal RNA". It matches the Rfam family "Bacterial large subunit ribosomal RNA", at positions 1290 to 2925 of the family's 2925-position model. The record is from RNAcentral. Lineage: Bacteria; Pseudomonadati; Pseudomonadota; Gammaproteobacteria; Enterobacterales; Enterobacteriaceae.